Molecule: long non-coding RNA, 2827 nt
Organism: Taeniopygia guttata (zebra finch)
Lineage: Eukaryota; Metazoa; Chordata; Aves; Passeriformes; Estrildidae
Source: Ensembl
UUUUUUUUUUUUUGAAUGUAGCAUAGAAGAUAAUUGAAGUAAAAGAGACUCUAAUCCCAGGGCUGCAUGAAUUCUCUGAAUUCAAUUACACUUUCAUGACACAGCUUGUUAUAUGUUGAGAAAUAAAAGGGCAUCCCAGGAAAAAAAAAUCACAGUAUUUUAACUGUGAUCAAGAUGGAUGAUAAUGGAUAAUGGAUCUAGAUAUAUGCAGAAUUCCUUCCUGUCACCUCAUAAUAAGCAGAGUUUCAUUUUUUUUUCUUCCUUUAGGAGAAGCUGCCAAUAUGACAUAUUUAACUAUUGCAGAUUUGCAGAAGCAUGAGCAGAGGAAAUUUGAGCCUGAAAUAUUUGCCUAAAAUAAUGAAGAUUUAUGGCUAUGUUGAUAGUCUUGAAUCUUUCCCAUAUAGAUGCUAAAAAGGGUCAGUUGUUUUUCUGGCAAGUCUUGAGAAAGAAUGUGUUAUAAACCUAAUGACUUAAUUUUGCUUUAUAUGCCAGUUAAUGUAGGUGCUUUGUGGACAAUUUGAUAUCAAAUGUAUAGUUUAGAGACAAAGAGGCUUUGAACCAAAAUGCACGUUCUUAGAGAGAGUCCUGAUUUUAACUGUUAUUUAUUAAAAAUAUAUGUUGUCUCCCUUCCUUGGUUAGUUAGAAAUUACCAGGGCUGUCUUUGAUAUCAGUAAGAAAUAUACAGGUCUUGUUGAGAAAGAGAGAUAAGAGAUGGAAGGGAAUGAAAUCUGUCAAGGUCCCUCACAUAUUAACUAAUAUUCUGUAUGUGCAUGAGGAAAAGAUUCAAAAUAGUUCAGAUGUGUUGAGGAAAUUGAAAUGUGUUUUGGGAAUUUAACCUUGGUGCAAAUACAUUACCAUCUUUUGUAUUUGUUGGGGUUUUUUGGGGGUGUUUUUUUUUGGGGGGGUGUGUUUGUUUUUUGGGUUUUUUUGGUACAUUGCGAACACAUUUGUUUGCAUUUUACAUUAACCUGAUUUGAAUCCAUGAGGUGACUGCCUACUGGCAAAACAUUUCCUUGUGCCAAGUAUGGUAAAGCUGAGGCCACAGUGUUAACAAACAUCUUCUGUCCUCAUAGAGGCUGUGUGGGUGCCUUGUGGGCUGGUGUCCUCAGCUCACUCAGGGAUCAGGGAGAAUCCCUGGCUCUUAGAGUUCCUCUGGAAUUUUCAUGAGGUGGAUGUGUAGAAACUGCCCUCUUACUCAGAAGGGCCCAUCCAAUGACGAUUGAUAGCUAGGAAAAAAAUAAAAAUAUUAUGGUUUUCUAAAUUGGAAUGUUUUUAAUGCAGGAGCUUUGUAAUAGCUACACUGAAAAAAAAAUAAAAGGUAUUUAUUUGGACACAUUCAUACACAUAGAUUGCUUAACUUCUUAGUAGCAUUUUAGCAGUGGAGUACAGCAACUAAUAAAAACUGCACUGUCAUAAAGAGUGUUUAAAGGUUACUCCAAAGCUGGACAGGACACAGUAAUUUUUAUUUCCCAUUAUACAGCUCAUUCUGCUAUUACUGCCUAGUAAAGGAGCUCUUGCAGUUUCACAAGCAGUAGGUCUGGGAAACGCUGACAUCAUUUACUUUACAGGCUUUUUGAGGAGAUUUUUUAAUGUGGUGGCAGAUGAGAUCACAUCUGUGAUGCAGCACUGUUGUUCUUACUUCAUCCAAAUCAGGAGUAAAUCAUGCCCUGGGUUUGAACAGGAUUGCAGCCUGUAAAAACUAUUCAAAAACACCAGGUGGAGAACAUGACAAGGCAGAACAGGGAAGACAGAGACACAAAUUCUUAUUGAAAUGAACAAUUAUAAUAACAUAACAGCUCCUAGGGCUGUGAUGUGAGGGCAGCAUCUGCCGAAUGUGAUGUGGGCCAGGAAUUAGAACUCAGAAAAGAAGGAGCACUAAGGUGGAAGAGGGCAGGAGGAAAAAAGCAUCUCAGAUGUACUGACUGGAGAUGAGGGAAUGAGGCCACUGCGUUUAACAACUAGAUGCAGACUCAGGUUUUGUUCUUCAGCUCGCCACAGGCCUCUUGAAUGACCUUGGGAAAAUAAUUUCAUUUCUUAUACCUCAUUUUCACACUCUUUUUCUGUCUUGCCUACUUAAAUUUCAGGUAUUUAGGACUGGGUCUAUGUAUUUAGAGAAUGGAGAAGCUUAUGAUGAAUUUAUUGGAACAUAUUGAUGUGAUAUGAAUAAUGCAUUGGAAUGAUGCACCAUCCUAAUGACAGUUUACACAGGAUCCCUUCUUCCUGCAGGGAAUGUUAAAUAACCUCUGUGGCAGGGGUGGAUCUUUGAAUUGCUGUGCUUUGCCUAAAGCUGCUCACCCAGUUUAUGACAGGAAUGCAGUGUCUACCCAGCUUGUAGGGUCAGGCCAGUGCUUCCCAAUUAACUGAGCUGUCAGGUUUGAAAGAGUAAAUAAUUCCCUGGAAGCAUGUGUGUUUAAAUGCAAGGCAUAGCUGUGUGACCCUUCAUAUGGGGAAACAGAGGAAUGAUAAAUUUCUGCCACAGGAAAAGCUUUUUCUUCGGCUGAGACACUCAUUAAGAUCCAAUGCCUCUUGGGGGCUUAUGGGGCAGUUCAGGUUUAAUGUCUGCCCCUUCCCUGCCUCCCAACAUACACCAUGGCUGUCUUCACAAGUCUUAGCAUAAACACUUAUUUCCUCUGACCCCAGGAGAAGGGGAAAAAUGAUCAGAGACAUUUUUGCUGAUGCUUUGAUGUGGGGCUGUGGAGCAGUGACAGGAAGGAGACAAAGUUAACACUGUAGUGUGCUCCUGACUGACAAAGUGCUGGAAUCAGAGCUGAGACAAAGCAUUCAUAUUUAAAAAAAAAAAAAAAAAAAAAAAAAAAAAAAAGAAGUA